AUGCGCCUUUGUUUUGGCUUUAAGGAAAAAAUAUUUCCGUUUUACAAGAUUAUGCCGGGGAAGGUUUUCCGGUUUGUUCCGGAGGGCUUGUAGCUCAGUUGGUUAGAGCGCGCGCUUGAUAAGCGUGAGGUCGGAGGUUCAAGUCCUCCCAGGCCCACCAAUUUGAUUUAAGUGCUUACUUUGAUUUUAGUGCUUAGAAGGUACUUAUUUUAGUACAAUUUAAAGCUUUUUUAGGUAAUUACCUCUUAUUAGGCAGCUAUAUUUUUUAUAGUUCAAUGUGCGCUUAUCAAUUACGCUAAAGCGAUUUAAAUUCCGUUUUAAGUUUACGCGGGUAGAACUGAAUUUUAAAUGCGUUUUAAAAUGCGUUUUUAAAAGUCCUUUAUCCUAAUUUAGGGGCCGUAGCUCAGCUGGGAGAGCACCUGCUUUGCAAGCAGGGGGC
This 439-nucleotide unclassified non-coding RNA is filed under the name Bartonella sp. H-556. Its description in RNAcentral is "partial 16S-23S ribosomal RNA intergenic spacer". The stretch from base 84 to 157 matches the Rfam family "tRNA". The record is from RNAcentral. Lineage: Bacteria; Pseudomonadati; Pseudomonadota; Alphaproteobacteria; Hyphomicrobiales; Bartonellaceae.